GGCUAGGAUUAGAGGUGUCAGGCCGUUUAAAACUAAUUGAGCACAACCAGUUACCAAUAUCUUUGUUCCUUCUCCACUCCCUCUGCUUCACUUGACUAGCCUAAA
RNAcentral lists this small RNA (105 nucleotides) under Gorilla gorilla gorilla (western lowland gorilla). Its description in RNAcentral is "Y RNA (ENSGGOG00000028941.2)". It matches the Rfam family "Y RNA". Rfam says of the family: Y RNAs are components of the Ro ribonucleoprotein particle (Ro RNP), in association with Ro60 and La proteins. Lineage: Eukaryota; Metazoa; Chordata; Mammalia; Primates; Hominidae. The record is from Rfam by way of RNAcentral.